Molecule: ribosomal RNA, 440 nt
Filed under: uncultured bacterium
Lineage: Bacteria
Description: partial 16S ribosomal RNA
Rfam family: Bacterial small subunit ribosomal RNA
Source: RNAcentral
CCUACGGGCGGCAGCAGUGGGGAAUAUUGCACAAUGGGGGAAACCCUGAUGCAGCGACGCCGCGUGAGUGAAGAAGUAUUUCGGUAUGUACAGCUCUAACAGAAGGGAAGAAAAUGACGGUACCUGAUUACGAAGCCCCGGCUAACUACGUGCCAGCAGCCGUGGUAAUACGUAGGGGGCAAGCGUUAUUCUGAUUGAAUGGGUGUAAAGGGAUGGUAGACGGCAGCACAAGUCUGGAGUGAAAUGCCGGGGCUUAACCCCGGAACUGCUUUGGAUACUGUGCAGCUAGAGUGCAGGAGAGGUAAGUGGAAGUCCUAGUGUAGCGGUGAAAGGCGUAGAUAUUAGGAGGAACACCAGUGGCGAAGGCGGCUUACUGGACUGUAACUGACGUUGAGGCUCGAAAGCGUGGGGAGCAAACAGGAUUAGAUACCCCUGUAGUC